RNAcentral lists this small nuclear RNA (126 nucleotides) under Erpetoichthys calabaricus (reedfish). RNAcentral describes it as "U1 spliceosomal RNA (ENSECRG00000008037.1)". It matches the Rfam family "U1 spliceosomal RNA". Rfam says of the family: U1 is a small nuclear RNA (snRNA) component of the spliceosome (involved in pre-mRNA splicing). Its 5' end forms complementary base pairs with the 5' splice junction, thus defining the 5' donor site of an intron. Lineage: Eukaryota; Metazoa; Chordata; Cladistia; Polypteriformes; Polypteridae. The record is from RNAcentral.
AUACUUACCUGGCAGGGGAGAUACCAUGAUCACUAAGGUGGUUCUCCCAGGGCGAGGCUCAUCCAUUGCACUCCGGGUGUGCUGACCCCUGCUUAGAUUACUUUAAUGCAUCUGAUUGUAAUUAAC